Molecule: long non-coding RNA, 1524 nt
Organism: Zingiber officinale
Lineage: Eukaryota; Viridiplantae; Streptophyta; Magnoliopsida; Zingiberales; Zingiberaceae
Exons: 2
Source: RefSeq, a predicted model, not a curated record
CUUUCCUCUAUAAAUAACGUGAUCUCCUUCAAUCGUCUUCACUGAUAGAUUAGGGUUUUUGAUAUCGGCGGCGAAAUAUCUGCUUUUCGUGACGAUGCCGCAGCUAAGACAGUUUAGGUGGGUAGAGGAUAAAAGGAUGCUGCACGGUGCACCCCGGGCUUCUCUGAGACAUUCCGUGAAGGUGGAAGCCCCAAUGCUCGUGCUAGAUUUAACUGCCGUUCAGUGUUGCAGUUCUGUCGAUUUUUCUACGUCUGAUCUGUGUCAAUGUAACGGCUAAAUCUAUCAAUUUCUGAUCUUUCAAGAAGCCUGUGAUGAAACAUCCAAAUUAUGGAGGUGCAGAGGGCUACAAGUCCCUGUUUUGCAGGGUGAACCUCUUGUAACUGCUGCAUUCAGAUGACAUUUCUGGAUUUUCUGAGGCUUUUUAUUUCGAUUAACUAUUCUUAUUUUGCUUGUGCAAUUAAAUAGUUCUGAGGAUUCGUUUAUAUUCAUAAUAGGCUUUGUUGUUUUGUUAAUUGCAUUCUGAACAUCAUCUAACUUUUAAUAUACUCACUUUGAUUUGCAGAUUUAAAAUUAUAAUUUAUUUGUGUUAAAUGAGAUGCCUGUGAUGACACAUCCAAAUUAUGGAGGUGCAGAUGGCUCCAAGUCCCUGUUUUGCAGGGUGAACCUCUUGUAGCUGCUGCAUUCAGAUGACAUUUCUGGAUUUUCUGAGGCUUUUUAUUUCGAUUGACUAUUCUUAUUUUGCUUGUGCAAUUAAAUAGUUCUGAGUAUUCGUUUAUAUUCAUAAUAGGCUUUGUUGUUUUGUUAAUUGCAUUUUGAACAUCAUCUAACUUUUAAUAUACUCUCUUGGAUUUGCAGAUUUAAAAUUAUAAUUUAUUUGUGUUAAAUGAGAUGCCUGUGAUGACACAUCCAAAUUAUGGAGGUGCAGAUGGCUCCAAGUCCCUGUUUUGCAGGGUGAACCUCUUGUAGCUACUGCAUUCAGAUGAUAUCUCUGGAUUUUCUGAGGCUUUUUAUUUCGAUUUCCAAUUGUUAUUUUGCUUGUGUAAAUUAACUAAUUCUAUUUAUUCGAUUAUAUUCAUAUUAUAGAUCCUCUUUCCAACUUUCUUUUACCACUAAAUUUUAAUGUUCAAACAAAAUAAUUAGUUAUCAGGAGCUUGUCUGAAAAUGCCAUUGUUUGCAUUAAUGACCUAUCAAAAUUUUAAUGUUUGGGAGCUGCUGCUUUUACAUUACUUGUUGCCCAUUUCUUUCAACAGGUACAAUUUUUGGUAACUGAGUGCAACCAUUUUAUCUUGUGCCAAGGAUGAUUUGUCUGCAAAAUGGAUGUGCUGUGGAACCAAGUCUCUGGUACCAGGAGAACCUCUUUGGGAAAACAACAUUUAAUAUGACAUAAGCGUACAUUUCUGAGGCGCAAAUUUGAAUUUUUUUUUUUUAUUUCUAUUUUUUUUUACAGUUUAGCUGAAAACACUGAGGACUGUCUAUUUAAUUGUUUGUAUUCCAUUGAAAUUUGUUCGAUUGCGUUUUUCCAAA